GCGAUUUUGGUCUAGUGGUACGAUACUCCCUUCGGGUUACACCAUCCGAUUGUAUUGAACAGUCUGGGAGUGGUCCUCGGUUCGAUUCCGGGAAGUCGCC
Non-coding RNA from Naganishia onofrii, 100 nucleotides. The record is from the annotation of a GenBank genome assembly. Lineage: Eukaryota; Fungi; Basidiomycota; Tremellomycetes; Filobasidiales; Filobasidiaceae.